UGACGGCAGUCAGGUCUUAUCACGGAAUGCAAUCAGAAAUGAGAGAUUUAAACAACUGCAGCCGUCAACCUGGGGCGACCACAGCGAGGAAGGAUAACGGCAAAUGGUGCGGGAAAGCACAGCUCUUACUGUCCUGAGAGCCGACUUACUCCCGAUCUGAAGACAGAAUCAUGAUCUGUCAUCCAAGCCUGGACCUCUGCAGUCAUCCAUAUCCUGUGAUCUUCUCUCCCAUAGGAAUCAAAGUGGUGAAUCUUCUCUGCAUCGCUUCCAUUGUGUGUGCACGGUUCUUGUGUGGCCCACUGUGGCUGCACAGCUUCAGUGAUGAGUUCGAUGCUGAGCUGGGGUACCGACAGUGCAGAAAUUGCACUUCCUCCUGUGAUUGCACGGGUUUCCUUCAGUUUCUUUUGCUUCCUAUACAUCCCAAAGACAUACAGGCUGGUUAUAUGUAAAAGCAUGUGAAUGGCAUACAUCAUUACACCACCACAUUAUGAGAGCACGGCUCACUACGAGUAAAAAAGAACUGAAUGUACAUGUGUUAUCCUUAUGUUUUGGAGAUUUAAAAAUAUAACUGUGGCAAUGAGUACAUUUAAAAUGAACCCAAGACAACUGCCUACCUGUUGAAGCACUGCAAGAUGUUUGAGUUUUAAAAAUAAAGCACAGCACACUUUCUUCACAAUAGGAGAGAAAUGGUCAAGUAAAAUAUAAGCACAGCACAUGUCUUUUUGCAAGAUGGGGAGAGACAGUUGAGUUAAAAAAUGGCAGAAAAUGGACAAAAUCCACGGGUUCAUAAGCAGUGAAAACUGUGUGAUAACUGUAAUAAAUUUUAAAAAAGCAGAAAUGGCUGGCGACAUUGGAAAAAUACACACUUUUGAUUGCACAGAAGAUAUCUGGAUCAUGUAUACUGAGUGAAUUGAGCAGCAUUUUGAUGCAAAUGAAAUAACCAAUGGGAAAUGAGUGUUGAGUUUGCUGAGUGUAAUUGGCAGAGAGCAAGUCAGAUGCUGAAGUCAGUCAUAUCAGUAUUCCAGUGGAGUAAAGGGAAUGACAGAGGCAUGAUUGGAAAAGUACACUGACAUGGAUGACAGAAGGACAGACAGAUUAGGGAAAAGGCAAAGAAGUAGCAGAUGGAAUAUAGUGUUGGCAAGUGUAUGGCCAUACACUUUGAUAGAAGAAAUAAAAGGGUUGAUGAUUUUCUAAAUGGAGAGAAAAUACAAAAAACUAAGAUGCAAAGGGAUUUGGGAGUCCUUGUGCAGGAUUCCCUAAAGGUUAAUUUACAAGUUGAGUCUGUGGUGAGGAAGACAACUGCACCGUUAGCAUUUGUUUCAAGAAGACUAGAAUAUAAAGCAAGGAUGUAAUGUUGAGACUUUAUAAAGCACUGGUGAGGCCUCACUUGUAGUAUUGUGCGCAAUUUUGGGCCCCUUAUCUUAGAAAGGAUAUAUUGAAACUGGAAAGGGUCCAAAGGAGGUUCACGAAAAUGAUUCCAGGAUUGAGUGGCUUGCCAUAUGAAGAGUGUUUGAUGACUCUGAGCUUGUAUUUGCUGGAAUUCAGAAGAAAGCUGUUGUAUUAUAUAGUAUACUGUGUAUGUAUAUUAUGUAUGUAUCUAAGUGCCUAUAAUAUGCAUUCAUCCCCCUGCCCACAGAAGUUUUUAUGUUUUAUUGUUUUACAACAUUGUAUCACAGUGGAUUAAAUUAGCUUUAUUGACACUGAUCAACAGAUAAGACUCUUUCAUAUUAAAGUGAAAAUAGAUUUUUACAAAGUGAUCUAACUUAAUUACAAAUAUAAAACACAAAAUAAUUGGUUGCAAAAUUAUUCAGCCCCUUCAAGUCAGUAAUUAGUAGAUGCACCUUUGGCAGCAAUUGCAGCCUUGAGUCUGUGUGGAUAGGUGUCUAUCAGCUUUACACAUCUGGAUACUGUAAUAUUUACCCCCAACCCCCUUUCUUCUUUACAAAACUGCUCAAGCCCUGUCUGGUUGUAUGGGGAUUGUGAGUGAACAGCACCUUUCAGAUACAGCACAAUUUCUCAAUUGGAUUGAAGUCUGGCCUCUGACUUAGCCAGUCCAGGACAUUAACUUUGUUGUUUUUAAGCCAGUCUUGUAUAGCUUUGGCUUUAUGCUUGGGGGUCAUUGUCUUGAUGGAAAAUAACUCUUCGCCCAAGUUGAAAUUUGCUUGCAGACUGCAUCAGGUUUUCCUCCAGGAUUUCCCUGUAUUUUGCUGCAUUCAUUUUACCCUCUAGAUUCAUAAGCCUUCCAGGGCCUGCUGCAGUGAAGCAUCCCCACAGCAUGAUGCACAGUAGGGAUGGUGCGCUUUUGAUGAUGUGCAGUGUUUGGCUUACACCAAACAUAGCAUUUAGUAUGAUGGCCAAAAAGCUCAAUUUUGGUUUCAUCAGACCAUAGAAGUUUCUUCCAGCUGACUUCAGAGUUCCCACAUGCCUUCUAGAAAAAUCUAGCCAAGAUUUAAUGUGAGUUUUUUUCAGCAGUGGCUUUCUCUUUGCCACUCUCCCAUAAAGCUGCGACUGGUGAAGCACACAGGCAGCAGUUGUAUGCACAGUCUCUCUCAUCUCAGCCGCUGAAGCUUGUAACCUCCAGAGUUGUCAUAGGUUUCUUGGUGGCCACUGUUACAAGUCCUCCUCUUGCAUGGUCACCCAGUUUUUAAAGAUGGCAGAUUUACAGUUGUGCCAUAUUCUUUCCAAUUCUUGAUGAUUGACUUAUCUGUACUCCAAGGGAUAUUCAGUGACUUGGAAAUUUUCUUGUAUCCACCUCCUGAUGUAUGCUUUUCAAUAACCCUUUUGUGGAGUUGCUUGGAAUGUUCUUUUGACAUCAUGGUGUAGUUUUUGCCAGGAUACUGACUUAACAGCAGUUGGACCUUCCAGAUACAGGUGUAUUUUUACUAGAAUCAAUUCAAACACUUUGACUCU
Molecule: long non-coding RNA, 2910 nt
Organism: Mobula hypostoma (lesser devil ray)
Lineage: Eukaryota; Metazoa; Chordata; Chondrichthyes; Myliobatiformes; Myliobatidae
Exons: 4
Source: RefSeq, a predicted model, not a curated record